RNAcentral lists this ribosomal RNA (1119 nucleotides) under Ceratocombus (Xylonannus) sp. CW-2013i. RNAcentral's name for it is "bacterial SSU rRNA". It matches the Rfam family "Eukaryotic small subunit ribosomal RNA", at positions 56 to 1111 of the family's 1831-position model. Lineage: Eukaryota; Metazoa; Arthropoda; Insecta; Hemiptera; Ceratocombidae. The record is from RNAcentral.
AGUUUGUACAAACUAAAUUAAAGUCAAACCGCAAAAUGCUCAUUAAAUCAGUCACGGUUUACUAGAACUAAUAUAUCUUUUUUUUUGAUAGAUGGAUAACUGUGGUAAUUCUAGAGCUAAUACAUGCAACACAGUUUUAUACAGUGAUGGAUAAAACGCUUUUAUUAGAACAAAACCAAUCGAUCAACUUGUUUGUUUCGUUUGAAUUUUGGUGAUUCUGAAUAACACCGUAGAUCACACAGUCAUUGUACUGGUGACGUAUCUUUCAAAUGCCUGACUUAUCACACUUUCGAUGGUAGAUUCUAUGUCUACCAUGGUUGUAACGGGUGACGGGGAAUCAGGGUUCGAUUCCGGAGAGGGAGCCUGAGAAACAGCUACCACAUCCAAGGAAGGCAGCAGGCACGCAAAUUACCCACUUCCGGCACGGAGAGGUAGUGACAAAAAAUAACGAUACGGGACUCAUCCGAGGCCCCGUAAUCGGAAUGAGAACACUUUAAAUACUUUAACAAGUAUCAAUUGGAGGGCAAGUCUGGUGCCAGCAGCCGCGGUAAUUCCAGCUCCAAUAGCGUAUAUUAAAGUUGUUGCAGUUAAAAAGCUCGUAGUUGGUUCUGUGUGCCACACUGUUGGUUUACCGCCUGUCGGUGUAACUGACAUGUUGUGGGACGUCCUGCCGGUGGUAAUUGCAGACCUUGAUGGUAUUGUUAAUUGCCUUUAAUUCUCAUUGCGGUGCUCUUUAUUGAGUGUCGAAGUGGGCCGGCACUUUUACCUUGAACAAAUUAGAGUGCUCAAGGCAAGCUAAAUAUUGCUUGAAUAUUAGUGCAUGGAAUAAUGGAACAGGACCUUGGUUCUAUUUUGUUGGUUUUCUGAAUCCAAGGUAAUGAUCAAUAUGGACGGUCGGGGGCAUUCGUAUUGCGGCGUUAGAGGUGAAAUCUUGGAUCGUCGCAAGACGAACUAGAGCGAAAUUUGUGACACACGUCUUAAUUGAUCAAGAACGAAAGUUAGAGGUUCGAAGGCGAUCAGAUACCGCCCUAGUUCUAACCAUAAACGAUGUCAGCCAGCGAUCCGUAGAGUUCUUUGAAUGACUCGACGGGCAGCUUCCGGGAAACCAAAGCUUUUGGG